GUGUCCUUUUAGAGCUGACAGAGUGCUUUAAGAGGCUAACAUAUAAGUGGAAAGUAAGUCUCCAUAAAACCCAGAGAAGAGAUGGUCGUUUCUUCUUUGGAUCCUGUCUGGAGUCAACAGAU
This is a small nucleolar RNA of Oryctolagus cuniculus (rabbit), 122 nucleotides long. The record is from Ensembl. Lineage: Eukaryota; Metazoa; Chordata; Mammalia; Lagomorpha; Leporidae.